RNAcentral lists this ribosomal RNA (434 nucleotides) under uncultured bacterium. RNAcentral's name for it is "partial 16S ribosomal RNA". It matches the Rfam family "Bacterial small subunit ribosomal RNA", at positions 29 to 507 of the family's 1533-position model. The record is from RNAcentral.
AACGAACGCUGCGGCAUGCCUAACACAUGCAAGUCGAACGAUUGCCUUCGGGUGAUAGUGGCGCACGGGUGCGUAACGCGUGGGAAUCUGCCCUUAGGUUCGGAAUAACAGCUGGAAACGGCUGCUAAUACCGGAUGAUAUCGCGAGAUCAAAGAUUUAUCGCCUGAGGAUGAGCCCGCGUUGGAUUAGGUAGUUGGUGGGGUAAAGGCCUACCAAGCCGACGAUCCAUAGCUGGUCUGAGAGGAUGAUCAGCCACACUGGGACUGAGACACGGCCCAGACUCCUACGGGAGGCAGCAGUGGGGAAUAUUGGACAAUGGGCGCAAGCCUGAUCCAGCAAUGCCGCGUGAGUGAUGAAGGCCCUAGGGUUGUAAAGCUCUUUUACCCGGGAAGAUAAUGACUGUACCGGGAGAAUAAGCCCCGGCUAACUCCGUG